Molecule: transfer RNA, 63 nt
Filed under: Mordella atrata
Lineage: Eukaryota; Metazoa; Arthropoda; Insecta; Coleoptera; Mordellidae
Description: tRNA-Tyr
Source: RNAcentral
GGGCAGAUGGCCGAGAUUAGGCGGUAAAUUGUAAAUUUAUUCACGAAUAAUAUUCUUUGUCCA